RNAcentral lists this ribosomal RNA (305 nucleotides) under uncultured bacterium. RNAcentral describes it as "bacterial SSU rRNA". It matches the Rfam family "Bacterial small subunit ribosomal RNA", at positions 338 to 659 of the family's 1533-position model. The record is from RNAcentral.
CCUACGGGACGCAGCAGUGGGGAAUAUUGCACAAUGGGCGAAAGCCUGAUGCAGCAACGCCGCGUGAAGGAAGACGGUUUUCGGAUUGUAAACUUCUGUUCUUAGUGAAGAAUAAUGACGGUAACUAAGGAGCAAGCCACGGCUAACUACGUGCCAGCAGCCGCGGUAAUACGUAGGGGGCAAGCGUUAUCCGGAUUUACUGGGUGUAAAGGGAGCGUAGACGGCAGUGCAAGUCUGAAGUGAAAGCCGCGGGCUUAACCCGGGAAUUGCUUUGGAAACUGUACGGCUGGAGUGCUGGAGAGGUA